CGGACGGGUGAGUAACGCGUGGGUAACCUGCCUCAUACAGGGGGAUAACAGUUAGAAAUGACUGCUAAUACCGCAUAAGCGCACAGAAUCGCAUGAUUCGGUGUGAAAAACUCCGGUGGUAUGAGAUGGACCCGCGUCUGAUUAGCUAGUUGGUGGGGUAAAGGCCUACCAAGGCGACGAUCAGUAGCCGACCUGAGGGGGUGAUCGGCCACAUUGGGACUGAGACACGGCCCAAACUCCUACGGGAGGCAGCAG
Molecule: ribosomal RNA, 255 nt
Filed under: uncultured bacterium
Lineage: Bacteria
Description: partial 16S ribosomal RNA
Rfam family: Bacterial small subunit ribosomal RNA
Source: RNAcentral